Molecule: long non-coding RNA, 418 nt
Filed under: Brassica napus (rape)
Lineage: Eukaryota; Viridiplantae; Streptophyta; Magnoliopsida; Brassicales; Brassicaceae
Description: long non-coding RNA (BNAP_LNC009036)
Source: RNAcentral
AUGUGGGAAAUUCACCUUCUCAUCCCUCCCCAUCACCACACCCAUAAUAACACAAAGAUAGAUUAGCCUCGCCAUAUCAACCCAAGUCCAGCUAUUUCUCUCUACCAAAUACUUCUUUUUUAUGAUCUGCAAGUUUAUGUUCUCAUAUGUCUUUAUUUGCGUGCUCCAAAAACCAUCAUCAUCUUUCCAUGUAUCUAACCCACUGUUCUUCUCUUGCUUCACUUUCAGACCAGUGACAACAUGAUACUCUUUCAAUCCAAAACGUAGAGGCCUCCUAGCAAAGGUGAACCACUUCUCAUGUCUCCUGCUUGUCAUACCAGCCUCACCGAAAACUUCAGAUUCUACUUCUUGAUAACCAUAAUAUGCGAGAAAAAGGGAUCUUUCACCACUUCCUCGAAUUCUGGCUUCAUUUUUUUCC